UACGGGGGGAGCAAGCGUUGUUCGGAUUUACUGGGCGUAAAGGGCGCGUAGGCGGUCAGCACAAGUCAGUUGUGAAAUCUCCGGGCUUAACUCGGAAAGGUCAACUGAUACUGUGCGACUAGAGUGCAGAAGGGGCAACUGGAAUUCUCGGUGUAGCGGUGAAAUGCGUAGAUAUCGAGAGGAACACCUGCGGCGAAGGCGCUCUGCUAGGCCGCAACUGACACUGAGGGACGAAAGCUAGGGGAGCGAACGGG
This 254-nucleotide ribosomal RNA is filed under the name uncultured bacterium. RNAcentral describes it as "partial 16S ribosomal RNA". It matches the Rfam family "Bacterial small subunit ribosomal RNA", at positions 524 to 776 of the family's 1533-position model. The record is from RNAcentral.